GUUAAAAUGUGGGUAAAGAGCCUGAAAAAACUCAGAAAGUGAGUGUUGUCAUCAGCUUCUUCCUUAGACUUACGGGACUGGAGUUAAAUAACAGCACUACAUUU
Spinacia oleracea (spinach) is the source of this 104-nucleotide small nucleolar RNA. RefSeq annotates it as small nucleolar RNA snoR97. NCBI's taxonomy places the organism in Eukaryota, Viridiplantae, Streptophyta, Magnoliopsida, Caryophyllales, Amaranthaceae. The transcript has a single exon. The record is from RefSeq and is a predicted model, not a curated record.